GACGAACGCUGGCGGCGUGCCUAAUACAUGCAAGUAGAACGCACAGUUUAUACCGUAGCUUGCUACACCAUAGACUGUGAGUUGCGAACGGGUGAGUAACGCGUAGGUAACCUGCCUGGUAGCGGGGGAUAACUAUUGGAAACGAUAGCUAAUACCGCAUAAUAUUGAUUAUUGCAUGAUAAUUGAUUGAAAGAUGCUAUUGCAUCACUACCAGAUGGACCUGCGUUGUAUUAGCUAGUAGGUGAGGUAACGGCUCACCUAGGCGACGAUACAUAGCCGACCUGGGGGGGUGAUCGGCCACACUGGGACUGGGACACGGCCCAGGCUCCUACGGGGGGCAGCAGUAGGGAAUCUUCGGCAAUGGACGGAAGUCUGACCGAGCAACGCCGCGUGAGUGAAGAAGGUUUUCGGAUCGUAAAGCUCUGUUGUAAGAGAAGAACGGGUGUGAGAGUGGAAAGUUCACACUGUGACGGUAUCUUACCAGAAAGGGACGGCUAACUACGUG
Molecule: ribosomal RNA, 505 nt
Filed under: uncultured bacterium
Lineage: Bacteria
Description: partial 16S ribosomal RNA
Rfam family: Bacterial small subunit ribosomal RNA
Source: RNAcentral